RNAcentral lists this ribosomal RNA (253 nucleotides) under uncultured bacterium. RNAcentral's name for it is "partial 16S ribosomal RNA". It matches the Rfam family "Bacterial small subunit ribosomal RNA", at positions 524 to 776 of the family's 1533-position model. The record is from RNAcentral.
UACAGAGGUCUCAAGCGUUGUUCGGAUUCAUUGGGCGUAAAGGGCGCGUAGGCGGCCUUCUAAGUCGAACGUGAAAUCCCCGGGCUCAACCCGGGAACUGCGUCCGAUACUGGAAGGCUUGAAUCCGGGAGAGGGAUGUGGAAUUCCAGGUGUAGCGGUGAAAUGCGUAGAUAUCGGGAGGAACACCAGUGGCGAAGGCGACUACCUGGCCUGUUCUUGACGCUGAGGCGCGAAAGCUAGGGGAGCAAACGGG